RNAcentral lists this non-coding RNA (292 nucleotides) under Beta vulgaris subsp. vulgaris (sugar beet). RNAcentral's name for it is "Eukaryotic small subunit ribosomal RNA". It matches the Rfam family "Eukaryotic small subunit ribosomal RNA", at positions 1 to 296 of the family's 1831-position model. The record is from Rfam by way of RNAcentral. Lineage: Eukaryota; Viridiplantae; Streptophyta; Magnoliopsida; Caryophyllales; Amaranthaceae.
UACCUGGUUGAUUCUGCCAGUAGUCAUAUGCUUGUCUCAAAGAUUAAGCCAUGCAUGUCUAAGUAUAAGCAAUUACAAAGCGAAACUGCGAAUGGCUCAUUAUAUAAGUUAUCGUUUAUUUGAUAGUACCUUACUACAUGGAUAACCGUGGUAAUUCUAGAGCUAAUACAUGCUGAAAAUCCCGACUUCGGAAGGGAUGUAUUUAUUAGAUACAAAACCAAUGCCCUUCGGGGCUCUCUUGGUGAUUCAUGAUAACUUCUCGAAUCGCACGGCCCCGCGCCGGCGAUGGUUC